Molecule: transfer RNA, 111 nt
Filed under: Hanseniaspora osmophila
Lineage: Eukaryota; Fungi; Ascomycota; Saccharomycetes; Saccharomycodales; Saccharomycodaceae
Rfam family: tRNA
About the family: Transfer RNA (tRNA) molecules are approximately 80 nucleotides in length. Their secondary structure includes four short double-helical elements and three loops (D, anti-codon, and T loops). Further hydrogen bonds mediate the characteristic L-shaped molecular structure. tRNAs have two regions of fundamental functional importance: the anti-codon, which is responsible for specific mRNA codon recognition, and the 3' end, to which the tRNAs corresponding amino acid is attached (by aminoacyl-tRNA synthetases). tRNAs cope with the degeneracy of the genetic code in two manners: having more than one tRNA (with a specific anti-codon) for a particular amino acid; and 'wobble' base-pairing, i.e. permitting non-standard base-pairing at the 3rd anti-codon position.
Source: Rfam by way of RNAcentral
CUCCUGGUAGCCAAGUUGGUUUAAGGCGCAAGACUGUAAUUUGAUUAAUAUUCUWURGAGUAUUGAUAUAAAGUAAUCUUGAGAUCGGGCGUUCGACUCGCCCCCAGGAGA